GCGCAGCAGGCGAGAAUACUCCGCAAUGCGCGCAAGCGUGACGGGGGGACCCCGAACGUGUCCUUGCACUGCAAGGACUUUUCCUUGAGUCUAAAAAGACUCGGGGAAUAAGGGCUGGGUAAGACGGGUGCCAGCCGCCGCGGUAAUACCCGCAGCUCGAGUGGUCUGGACUUUUAUUGGGUCUAAAGCGUCCGUAGCCGGAUUUGUAAGUCCUCUGUGAAAUCUGGCAGCUUAACUGUCAGGCGAGCAGGGGAUACUACAUUUCUCGGGGACCGGGAGGGGCCAAGGGGUACUCCUGGGGGUAGCGGUGAAAUGCGUUAAUCCUAGGGGGACCACCUGUGGCGAAGGCGCUUGGCCAGAACGGGUCCGACGGUGAGGGACGAAAGCCAGGGGAGCGAACGGGAUUAGAUACCCCGGUAGU
This 421-nucleotide ribosomal RNA is filed under the name uncultured microorganism. Its description in RNAcentral is "bacterial SSU rRNA". It matches the Rfam family "Archaeal small subunit ribosomal RNA", at positions 330 to 745 of the family's 1478-position model. The record is from RNAcentral.